CCUUUUCUCUGUUCUUCACUUCUGUCUCUACUAAGGAUCAUCGUCUCCUUCUCUUAACCAACGACACCCAAAUCGUUGGCUCACAAGGAAGAGGGGAGGAAUCGCCAUGAUCGAAUUCUAUGGUGAAGAAUAUGAAAUUAUCUCUUCAGUUUGCUGCUAGCUUUUGGAACUUGGAAUAGCAAGCGGGGUGUUUGGGUUGAUGUUGGAUUAACGUCGUUUGAAUUGGGUGCUUGUGCGUUUGGAGUUAGCUUGCUUCUAUUGGAGAUUUUAGCUGCUGGUUUCCAUAGAUUGAGAAAUGUGGUUGUGCUGGUCAUAAAUCCAGAAUCGUCUUGAACAGAGUCCCUGCUAAGUUCAGUUUUGCAUGUGGAAUAUAUGUUGGCUGUUGGUUUUCUGCUGCUGUUAUCUUGUGGAUUAUGUGUCAGUAUGCGUAUUUGUUUGAGAAGGUGGUCUUUUGUUAAGAUUAUGGUAUGAAGGUGAAAGCUUACUGACCUGAGUUAAUCUACUGUAAGUUUUGAUACCAAAUGUGAUGGUUCUUUUAAAAAAGUAUCUUUCAUGUUUGUAUAAAAUGUAAAGUUGUAUUCAGCCUUCUUGAUAGCCGGUUUUACUGUUCAUGUGUAUCUUUGAAAGAGAUUGAACUUGAAAUGAAGUUGUCUUUAAAAAUUCUGUUGUUCCUUUUGUAUCUUUGAGGAGAACUAAACCAGGAAAAGAAGCUAUGUUUAAAAUUGUAUUUGAACUUUUGUGUAUUACUGUUAGGCUACUGUACAAUGCAAAUGAGUUUUGGAAAAGCAAGUAUUAUUCAUUAUAUUUUGUUUACAGCUUUGGUUUACGACUUGUGUUUCUUGAGAUGUCUAACUCUCUCAUAUUUCAUCUCCUUGUUUUCAUCAGAAUGAUUCUUACUUCCUCCAAUAUGCCAACGCAGCCAAAGUUUUGGUUAUUUAGUUAUGAUGUCUUGCUUAUUUCCAAGUUUUGAAAAAUAAAUAAAUAAAUAAAAAAAAAACUUAUCCACCAAUCUUUCUUUCGAUUUAAUCCAUCACAUUAGUCAUACCCUAAGGUCAGGGUGUGACAGUUGCUAACAACACAAGUUAGUACCAAACAUAACAAAAACUACUACCAAGCAUAACAAAAGCUAUUGUGACCAGUAACAAAAGCUACUAUCACUCUCGACAAAAGCUAUUGCAAUCGAGAGAAUAUAACAAAUUUAAUGGUACAAACAAUAUGAUGCCUUCUACAAUGAUAAUUAUGUACAAAGCUACUUCCGUAAUUACAUAAAGCUACUACUUUAGUUCUGGAUAUCUACUACAAUAGUUGUAUGAAGCUACUAUUAUUAUUUUAUGGUGAUGCUCAAUUUCUCCACCUUGAGCACGAUUUUCUUGGUUGACCGAAUGAUCUCUAAGGAGGUUUCAAUAUCCAACUUCACAUGAUUUUCGAAAUCUAAUAUUACAAAUGAAAGGGUAAAAAUAUGCAAGAACAAAGAAACAAACAAAUAUUAGUAUUUGAAAUGAAAAUAGAAGCUAUUGAUAUCGCAUUGAAAAGACACUACCCUAAUGUUGAAAAGCUACUACCCCAAUGUUGAAAAGAUACUAUCACAAAAUAAGAAAGCUACUCUAAUGUUGAAAAGAUACUAACACAGACGUAGAAAGAUACUACCACACCGUCAAAAAGAUACAGAAUAACACAGACAGAAAGAUACUACUACAUUGUCAAAAAAAUACUAACAUAGACAUAAAAAGAUACUAUAACUAUGUUUAAAGCAUCAUACAAUACAAAAACUACUGACAUCAUGUAAAAAGCUACUAACAUAGAAUGGUAAAAACACUAUAUAUAACAGUUGUAGAAAGCUACUGAAUGUAAUCAAAAAGAGCAAACAAAGACAAUGACAAAAAAUGGCAAUGACACAAACACAGUCGACAUAGAAUUCUUAUAGUGUCAUAGUUGGAGAUAGACAGCAAAUCAGAUUCACUGUAUAUACAGCAAAUCAAGACUUUAAUCAACACUCAACAAAUGAAAUUGGAGAUAGACAGAAAAAUACAAGAGACAAAAACUCAUAUCAUACCUUGGAAACAUUUGGCCUCCCUAAAUGAAGAACAUCAAUGACUUGUAUAAAAAAACAACAAAAAUCAAACUCAAUCCUAAUCAACUACUACAA
Fragaria vesca subsp. vesca is the source of this 2146-nucleotide RNA transcript. RefSeq lists it as uncharacterized. Lineage: Eukaryota; Viridiplantae; Streptophyta; Magnoliopsida; Rosales; Rosaceae. The transcript has 3 exons. The record is from RefSeq and is a predicted model, not a curated record.